AUCCACAAAGACCUGAAGAGAAUCUUUAAUAUUGAUGCCAGAGAAACUCAUCUUAGUUGAUGAAGCAAGAUUUAAUCUUACCAAAAUGCGGAGAAGGGGAGGAACAUAAUUGGGCCAUUGUGAAUGUCCCUGGCCAGCGAGGAGGGAAUGUGACCAUAUGUGCCACCAUCAGCCACCAAUGGACCCUCCACCCCCCAUGCCACCCUUGGUCCAUACAACACCAUCCAUCAGCUGGCUUUUCUCGAUGGUCUGCGAGAUCAUGUAUACCAACUAGACCAGAGGGAGGGAGCCAGCACAACCAGACCAGCCAUGCUACAUUGUCAUUUGGGACAAUGUCAGUUUCCACCAGAUAAGCUGACGAAGAGGACUGAGUAAUCCCGGACUCUCGGCGAGAGCCACUUUCAGAUGCCCCAUCGAUUACUUCAAUUAGCUCGUUUAAAAUGAAGAGAUGAAGCCUUAUUAUCCGGGAGAGAAAAUGCGUGCCAUUACAAAGAAUAUUAUAAUCAAGCUCGUCUUGCCUGACCCUCAU
Conger conger (European conger) is the source of this 529-nucleotide long non-coding RNA. RefSeq lists it as uncharacterized. The record is from RefSeq and is a predicted model, not a curated record. NCBI's taxonomy places the organism in Eukaryota, Metazoa, Chordata, Actinopteri, Anguilliformes, Congridae. The transcript is spliced from 3 exons.